AAGUCGUAACAAGGUUUCCGUAGGUGAACCUGCGGAAGGAUCAUUACCAGGUCCCCGGCCCCCUCGCGGGGUCGACCUUCCCACCCGUGUCUAUCUUCUCUGUUGCUUUGGCGGGCCAGCUGCUCCGGCGCUGGCCUCACCCCCGCUCUGCGGGAGGGCCCGCGCCCGCCAAAGACCUAUCCAAACCCAACUGUUUUGUGACGUAUUUCUGAGUCCCUCGCACGCUCCGUCGUGCGUCCAAUAUCGUGAAAACCUUCAACAAUGGAUCUCUUGGUUCUG
This 279-nucleotide unclassified non-coding RNA is filed under the name fungal sp. RNAcentral describes it as "partial internal transcribed spacer region". The stretch from base 1 to 46 matches the Rfam family "Eukaryotic small subunit ribosomal RNA", at positions 1786 to 1831 of the family's 1831-position model. Lineage: Eukaryota; Fungi. The record is from RNAcentral.